RNAcentral lists this ribosomal RNA (404 nucleotides) under uncultured Acidimicrobiia bacterium. Its description in RNAcentral is "bacterial SSU rRNA". It matches the Rfam family "Bacterial small subunit ribosomal RNA", at positions 353 to 772 of the family's 1533-position model. The record is from RNAcentral. Lineage: Bacteria; Bacillati; Actinomycetota; Acidimicrobiia.
AGUGGGGAAUCUUGCGCAAUGGGCGAAAGCCUGACGCAGCAACGCCGCGUGCGGGAUGAAGGCCUUCGGGUUGUAAACCGCUUUCAGUGGGGACGAAAACAGACGGUACCCACAGAAGAAGCCCCGGCCAACUACGUGCCAGCAGCCGCGGUAACACGUAGGGGGCGAGCGUUGUCCGGAAUCAUUGGGCGUAAAGAGCUCGUAGGCGGCUCAGUAAGUCGGGUGUGAAACCCUCAGGCUCAACCUGGGGACGCCACCCGAUACUGCUGUGGCUAGAGUCCAGUAGGGGAGUGUGGAAUUCCCGGUGUAGCGGUGAAAUGCGCAGAUAUCGGGAGGAACACCAGCGGCGAAGGCGGCACUCUGGGCUGGAACUGACGCUGAGGAGCGAAAGCGUGGGUAGCAAA